GACGAACGCUGGCGGCGCGCCUAACACAUGCAAGUCGAACGAAGCAAUUAAGAUGAAGUUUUCGGAUGGAAUCUUGAUUGACUGAGUGGCGGACGGGUGAGUAACGCGUGGAUAACCUGCCUCACACUGGGGGAUAACAGUUAGAAAUGACUGCUAAUACCGCAUAAGCGCACAGUGCCGCAUGGCAGUGUGUGAAAAACUCCGGUGGUGUGGGAUGGAUCCGCGUCUGAUUAGCCAGUUGGCGGGGUAACGGCCCACCAAGGCAACGAUCGGUAGCCGGACUGAGAGGUUGAACGGCCACAUUGGGACUGAGACACGGCCCAG
RNAcentral lists this ribosomal RNA (324 nucleotides) under uncultured bacterium. Its description in RNAcentral is "bacterial SSU rRNA". It matches the Rfam family "Bacterial small subunit ribosomal RNA", at positions 28 to 334 of the family's 1533-position model. The record is from RNAcentral.